This 1195-nucleotide ribosomal RNA is filed under the name metagenome. Its description in RNAcentral is "bacterial SSU rRNA". It matches the Rfam family "Bacterial small subunit ribosomal RNA", at positions 8 to 1184 of the family's 1533-position model. The record is from RNAcentral.
AGAGUUUGAUUCUGGCUCAGAACGAACGUUAGCGGCGCGCCUAACACAUGCAAGUCGCACGAGAAAGGGCUUCGGCCCCGGUACAGUGGCGCACGGGUGAGUAACACGUAGAUAAUCUUCCCUCGGGUGGUGGAUAACUCUCCAAAAGGAGAGCUAAUACAGCAUGAGACCACGGCUCCCCUGGAGCUGCGGCCAAAGCAGGCCUCUAUACAUAAGCUUGCGCCUGAGGAUGAGUCUGCGGCCCAUCAGCUAGUUGGUAGGGUAAUGGCCUACCAAGGCUAAGACGGGAAGCUGGUCUGAGAGGAUGAACAGCCACACUGGAACUGAGACACGGUCCAGACUCCUACGGGAGGCAGCAGUGGGAAUCUUGCGCAAUGGGCGAAAGCCUGACGCAGCGACGCCGCGUGAGCGAUGAAGGCCUUCGGGUUGUAAAGCUCUGUGGGGAGGAAAGAAUAAGGGUUGGCUAAUAUCCAACUUGAUGACGGUACCUCCUUAGCAAGCACCGGCUAACUCUGUGCCAGCAGCCGCGGUAAGACAGAGGGUGCAAACGUUGUUCGGAAUACUGGGCGUAAAGCGCGUGUAGGCGGCUCUGUAAGUCGGAUGUGAAAUCCCACGGCUCAACCAUGGAAGUGCAUUCGAAACUACAGGGCUAGAGUUCUGGAGAGGAAGGUGGAAUGCUUGGUGUAGAGGUGAAAUUCGUAGAUAUCAAGCGGAACACCGGUGGCGAAGGCGGCCUUCUGGACAGUAACUGACGCUGAGACGCGAAAGCGUGGGGAGCAAACAGGAUUAGAUACCCUGGUAGUCCACGCCGUAAACGAUGAGUGCUAGGUGUCACGGGCUUUGACCCUCGUGGUGCCGAAGCUAACGCGUUAAGCACUCCGCCUGGGGAGUACGGUCGCAAGACUAAAACUCAAAGAAAUUGACGGGGGCCCGCACAAGCGGUGGAGCAUGUUGUUUAAUUCGACGCAACGCGUAGAACCUUACCUGGGCUAGAAAGUACAGGAAGUCGGUCGAAAGGUCGAUGUGCCCUUCGGGGAACCUGUGGUUAGGUGCUGCAUGGCUGUCGUCAGCUCGUGUCGUGAGAUGUUGGGUUAAGUCCCGCAACGAGCGCAACCCCUGUUGUUAGUUGCCAGCAUUAAGUUGGGCACUCUAACAAGACUGCCGACCUUUAAGUCGGAGGAAGGUGGGGAUGACG